CAACACAUAGCUUAACCUUAAAGCAUUCAGCUUACACCUGAAAAAUGCCUAAUGACUAGGCUGUUUUGA
This 69-nucleotide transfer RNA is filed under the name Pseudemydura umbrina (Western swamp turtle). RNAcentral describes it as "tRNA-Val". It matches the Rfam family "tRNA". Rfam says of the family: Transfer RNA (tRNA) molecules are approximately 80 nucleotides in length. Their secondary structure includes four short double-helical elements and three loops (D, anti-codon, and T loops). Lineage: Eukaryota; Metazoa; Chordata; Testudines; Chelidae. The record is from RNAcentral.